UGUGUGUCCAUGUAUUUUUGUUCGGCCUGUGGAUAAAGACUUAGAGAAAGGUGCAAAAAAUAAAUUCUCUUUUGCAACCUAGAAGCCUCUGUUCACUGUGAGUUUUGACAACUGUGGGAUGGGGUAUU
Molecule: small nucleolar RNA, 128 nt
Organism: Heterocephalus glaber (naked mole-rat)
Lineage: Eukaryota; Metazoa; Chordata; Mammalia; Rodentia; Bathyergidae
Source: Ensembl